RNAcentral lists this ribosomal RNA (524 nucleotides) under uncultured bacterium. Its description in RNAcentral is "partial 16S ribosomal RNA". It matches the Rfam family "Bacterial small subunit ribosomal RNA", at positions 28 to 523 of the family's 1533-position model. The record is from RNAcentral.
GACGAACGCUGGCGGCGUGCUUAACACAUGCAAGUCGAACGAGACGAUUGAAAGCUUGCCUUCGAAAGUCGAGUGGCAAACGGGUGAGUAACGCGUAGACAACCUGCCUUUGAGAUGGGGACAACAGUUCGAAAGGACUGCUAAUACCGAAUGUUGUAUAUUUUCCACAUGGAAGAUAUAUUAAAGAUGGCCUCUAUUUAUAAGCUAUCGCUCAAAGAUGGGUCUGCGUCUGAUUAGCUAGUUGGUGGGGUAACGGCCUACCAAGGCGACGAUCAGUAGCCGGUCUGAGAGGAUGAACGGCCACAUUGGGACUGAGACACGGCCCAGACUCCUACGGGAGGCAGCAGUGGGGAAUCUUCCACAAUGGACGAAAGUCUGAUGGAGCAACGCCGCGUGAGUGAAGAAGGGUUUCGGCUCGUAAAGCUCUGUUGUCGGGGACGAAUGUGCAUUACUUGAAUAAAGAAUUGUAAUGUCGGUAUUAAACGAGAAAGCCACGGCUAACUACGUGCCAGCCGCCGCGGUAA